This is a long non-coding RNA of Chinchilla lanigera (long-tailed chinchilla), 2711 nucleotides long. RefSeq lists it as uncharacterized. Lineage: Eukaryota; Metazoa; Chordata; Mammalia; Rodentia; Chinchillidae. The transcript has 3 exons. The record is from RefSeq and is a predicted model, not a curated record.
AGCAUUUUAAGCUUCCAGCAUGAUUGCUCCCUCCGUCUUCCAGCUCAGGGCUUCCAAGGCCUCCGGGACUUACUCACACACAAACUCAGGUCCACACACAUCCUCACCCAGAGACGUGAGGCAGCGGCGGUGUGCGGCAGUUCUUCCACGUCUGACCUGGAGCACAUCUUGCCUCAGAGCGUGUCUGGGCCACUCUCCGCGGUGCUCAGCAACUCGGCUGGGAGGAGUGGAGACCUUGGGUCAGACUCCAACCUGAGCUGUUUGGGGUGAGGCCUCCUGGCGGCUUCGGGGCUGCCGUGCACCCCGCGUCCUCAGCAUGGAUGUCAUCCCCGUUGGUCCCCUCAUGCUCAUUGCCGCUGUGGGGAGGAGGUGGCCCGAGGCCGGUGGCACCGCUCAGGACCCCGCCCCUGAAAGCUGCUCUCCCCUCGGGACGAGGUUGGCUGUUUGCAGUUGUCCUCUGCCUUCCCGCAAGACUCUCCCCAACAAACGUCCGCGCCCUAAGGCUGCGGGCACGGCUGAGGCCACGCGUCGUUCCCGCCUGGUGCUGCGCGGGGCGCAGUGAGCCUCUUCCCGGUGGGAACAAGCUCGUGCAGGCCAGGCGUCGCUGCGCUGUGCGGGUCGCCUGCCUCCUCCAGAACUGGGCUCUCGCUCUCUGAUCAUUUAGCAUUCUUGGCAGACAUUUUUAAAAUUAAAUUCCCUGCAGUGUUUUAAGUCCCCUUCCAAUUUCUUUUCAUGCAUUUCUCUUACCUGACAAGAAGCCUGAACAAAACGAAUCACCCGAGCAUCUCACUUAAAUUGCUGUUACCCGAAGGGAUUAACCCGCUACCAGACCAAGCUCAGGCCAGCCUUAAACCGCCUCCCACAGCCGAGCUUAAAAUCACGACUGCAGGAGAAACGACAGGCAGUGACUGCCGCACCUGCCACCGUGAAGCUUUGGGUCCACUCUCCCAGCCUCCCCUUCCCAUCCGGGAAUCUGGCAUUUCCGCUGUGCGUCUGGGUCUUUGAUUCCCUGGAGCAUCGUUUUCCUGUGUGGUGUGAGGAAGGGAGCUCGUUUUCCUGUGUGGUGUGAGGAAAACACGCAUGCCCAGGCGAGCAUGGCGGACAGCAGCGGCAGGAGGCGGCGGAAGGGACCUGGCUCAGCCGUAGUCACUGUGAUAGCGAGGCUCUGCCUUGUGAGCACUGUGAGCACCAUGCGUUUGAUGAGGAGGACCAACGCAUCGCGAGCACCAGAUCAGCAGUCGAAGAGCCCAGCAGCAGCAGCAGCAGCAGCAUCGCCCAGCGAGGUGUGUGGCGCCCGCUUUUGCUCCUGAUUUGAAGGUGAAGCCCCCAGCUCAGCGCACCGCGGGUCUCGCCUUCCUUCGUAAGUGGAAAUGAAAGGAGCCUGCAGCAGCAAGACGUCAAAAAUAAGAAACUCUCCUGCGCUCCUGCCUCUCGGAGUCCCAAGCCCACACGGCCUCCGGGCUGGGCACACCGCAGCUCGUCCUCAGCUCGCAGGCUGAAGUUCCCACAAAAGGAUUCUUUCAGCAUCUGCCCGAUUGCGAAAGGGCCGUGCUGGCUCUGGGAAGCGAACCAGAAGGCGCGCCGAGGCCUGCGGAGCUGCAGCAGCCGGCUCUCCCCACGCCCGCCCAGCUGGGAAGCUGGAAAUGAUCGCUCGCCCCGCAGCGUCGUUCUCUGCCCGGCAUCUGAUAAAAUGCCUGUCCCAUACCGUGGGCCCCCAGCAUGUUUUUGUCAAGAAUGUGGGGCUGAGGGAAUGGUGCAAAACCUCACUGUGCUGCCUCGGUAAUCACACGGGGCGGUGUCCAUGUGAGAGCUCGGGGGUCAAUUCCGAGUGGGACCCGGCCUCGUGCGUGAAUGCUGCGGCUCACGUGUGUGCGCGAGACCCGGGGUAUGACCGCACCACCGUCCCUUACACUGGUCAGCUGUUUGUGAAAGGAAGGCCUGGGGUUCCAUGGUGAGCGAGUGUGCGGCAUGUGAGGGGUGGCAGUGCACACACUUCAUAAGUGUGUGUGUGUGUGUGUGUAGUGUUGGGAACUCUGGUGUUCAGCUCUGAGACAGCAGCCAAGGUCAAGCACAACGCAGCGGACUCCGCCUCCUGGGAGGCUAGCUCUGCCUAGGCAUCAGGGUUUUGGUGUUUGGUGCAACUGAUUUAAACGCAAGGCCAGACACUGCCCCAUGUACUGGGAUACAUCUUCUUCCUGUGGUGACUUAGCAGGUCUUCAAGCCAAUGUAAUGUUGAUAAAUACUUGGUCACUUGGUACAGGCCGCAUGAUGCCUCGAGUCUCUCAGCAGGAAAAGCCCGACACAGGAAGUGAUGGUGACACCACCCCCUGGGUGCCUGGAGAUCGGGCUGGCUGUGAAGGCGAGGGCACCGCCCAGCCGCUCAGUAAGGAAGCACCCGUGUGUUCAGGACUCGGCCCCCCUUCUAGGCAGCAGGAGUGUUGAACCUGUGGCCUGGAACCCCUCAGUUGUUCAUUAGGCAUCCACCCAGGGACAGAGCCUCUGCCCAGCCUAAGCCCUGAGGGCCCAGGGACUGGCCCCGCCACCCGGCUCCUCACAAGCUCCUCACACACGCAUCUCUGGGCAGCAGCCUGGUGCUCCUGCUGAGCCCAGGCCCACACUCUUCGGCACCUUUCCUCUCUGGUCAUUUUUCCCUUGGUGUGUUGCAGGAAGCUCUCUCGGCCCCCGAAGCAUCACAUGCUCACCUUGCUCAG